RNAcentral lists this transfer RNA (17 nucleotides) under Hookeria acutifolia. RNAcentral's name for it is "partial tRNA-Ser". Lineage: Eukaryota; Viridiplantae; Streptophyta; Bryopsida; Hookeriales; Hookeriaceae. The record is from RNAcentral.
CGGAAAAAGAGGGAUUC